AAGUCGUAACAAGGUCUCCGUAGGUGAACCUGCGGAGGGAUCAUUACCGAGUUCAUGCCCUUCGGGGUAGACCUCCCACCCGUGUAUUCCUACUCUUGUUGCUUCGGCAGGCCGCUCGGCUUCGGCCAGGCUGUUGGCUCCGGCUAGCACGCGCCUGCCAGAGGAUCUCAAACUCUGAAUGUUAGUGUCGUCUGAGUACUAUAUAAUAGUUAAAA
RNAcentral lists this unclassified non-coding RNA (215 nucleotides) under plant metagenome. RNAcentral's name for it is "partial contains small subunit ribosomal RNA and internal transcribed spacer 1". The stretch from base 1 to 46 matches the Rfam family "Eukaryotic small subunit ribosomal RNA", at positions 1786 to 1831 of the family's 1831-position model. The record is from RNAcentral.